Non-coding RNA from Podarcis lilfordi (Lilford's wall lizard), 112 nucleotides. NCBI's taxonomy places the organism in Eukaryota, Metazoa, Chordata, Lepidosauria, Squamata, Lacertidae. The record is from the annotation of a GenBank genome assembly.
GCAUAGGCAAACUCCGGCUCUCCAGAUGUUUGGGACUAACAGGACCAGUGGUCAAGGAUGAUGGGAAUGAAUUGUAGUCCCAAACAUCUGGAGGGCUGGAGUUUGCCUAUGU